RNAcentral lists this ribosomal RNA (427 nucleotides) under uncultured bacterium. Its description in RNAcentral is "partial 16S ribosomal RNA". It matches the Rfam family "Bacterial small subunit ribosomal RNA", at positions 354 to 796 of the family's 1533-position model. The record is from RNAcentral.
GUGGGGAAUAUUGGGCAAUGGGGGAAACCCUGACCCAGCGACGCCGCGUGAGGGAAGAAGGCCUUAGGGUCGUAAACCUCUGUUGCGUGGGAAGAAGAGCGUGACGGUACCACACGAGGAAGUCCCGGCUAACUACGUGCCAGCAGCCGCGGUAAUACGUAGGGGACGAGCGUUGUCCGGAUUUACUGGGCGUAAAGGGCGCGUAGGCGGUCAUUUAAGUCAGCUGUGAAAUGGUUUGACUUAACCGGAUCAUGCGGUUGAAACUGGAUGGCUGGAGUGCUGGAGAGGCAAGUGGAAUUCCCAGUGGAGCGGUGAAAUGCGUAGAUAUUGGGAAGAACACCGGUGGCGAAGGCGACUUGCUGGCCACCAACUGUCGCUGAGGCGCGAAAGCCAGGGGAGCGAACGGGAUUAGAAACCCUGGUAGUCC